This is a long non-coding RNA of Solanum stenotomum, 462 nucleotides long. RefSeq lists it as uncharacterized. The record is from RefSeq and is a predicted model, not a curated record. The transcript is spliced from 3 exons. Lineage: Eukaryota; Viridiplantae; Streptophyta; Magnoliopsida; Solanales; Solanaceae.
GUUUAUCCAACGAAUGUGGAUUUUAAAGGGCGAGUACGACAAGUCUGGUCCAUCCAUUGUCCACAAGAAGUGCUUCUAAGUGAACUCAGGUCUGCUGUUAUAGGCAAGUCUUCGAGAUGGGGCUAUACCGCUGAUACUAUUUCAUGUUUCCAGUGCAAGCCUCUUUUGUAAGUAGACAAACUCGAUUUGUAAAUAUGUUUGGGACUCAACUAGUGGUUAGAGUACUGACUUUGUAAGAUUUGUGUACGGAAAAUCAAAUUAGAAAGAUAACUCGUGAUGAUUGAAUAAGCUCGAAGAAGUGGAUCUGAAUUUCAAAUCGUGUCUUUUUUUUAUGUGUGUGUGUGAGAAAUUUGAAGCGUUGUUUAGAUUUGUUGGAAUAGUCUAAAGAGAUUGUCUCUAUAAAAUUUGAAGACAUUUGAUGGAGAUCUGAUUAGAUGAUUUUGAACAACAAUUGCAACUGAA